UACAAAGGGCAGAAGGACCUGCCAGCCAUUGGAAGACCCCCUACCAAGCUUGACUGCCUGUGGCAGGGACGGGUGGGCAGAUGCCCAGAUGUUCCUGGGCCAGUGGCUGCGCCCUGUUGCCCUCCUUUAUCCCAGGCUCGGAUGGUUCCCUUUGCUGCCCACACAGGCCCACUCUGGCCCGGCCCUGAGUGUGUGAUGUCUGUCAUUCAGUGAAAGGCAGAGGUGGUGGUGUCACACCGGAGGCCUUUCCGCCUUUCAGUCUCGGCUCCCUGGGAGUGCCAGUCAUGGCGAAUCUGCCAAGACGGUGGCGUUACGAUCUCUUCAUAGCAGUUUUCCACUUUAUUCUUUUGUUCUUGACAAUGGAGAUGUACUUACAACCUCAAAGCCGAGGAUGGGCCUUUGCUGUCCCAGCCCCAGUUCACCAGAAGCAGAGCCUUCUCGACACAUCUCAGCUUCUGCAUGAGCAACGCUUUCGUGAACAAUGUGGCAGCCCAGGUGAAACAAAGCAGCAAGAGGACAAGUGUGGAGGGUUCCCACGCUCUUUAUAAUGUGACUAAAAGCUCAUUUCCUUGGGCACAAUGUAUAGGCUAUGCAUUGUGCUAAACCCUUGCCAUAUAUUAACUCAAUUAAUCCUCACAACAAUCUAAUUUAUGAAUCCAUUCAACAAAUAUCUAUUGAGUACCUGCUAGGUGCAAAGCUCUGUGCUAGGUGCUGAGGAUAACUCAGUGAACAAGACAAGUCGCUGUCCUCAUGAAGUUUACAAUCUAGGUAGGACCUAUUAUCCCACUCUAGAGAUGAGAAAACUAAGGCCUCUUGAAUUUAACUUACUUGCUCAGGUCACUAAGUGACAGGGCAGGGCCUUAAACCCAGGCAAUCUGUUUCAGAGUCCAGCAUGCUAUUUGCUACCAAAUGCUUCCUUCUUUUCUUCCCAACACCACACAUGUGGCAGACACUAUUGGUUACCUCUCUGAAUCCGUCUCCCUUCUUACUUGCUGGGACAAACCCAAUUUAUUUGGAUGUACCCUUUCAUACCUGUGUGCUUGGGGAAGGGCCCCUUCCCAGCCUCAGCCCCACGAGUGAAUGGUGAUUAGUUAGAACUAAUCUUCGUAAUUCCCUUCCUGUUGCCAGGGGUUAGUUUAGGCCCCAGGGAUCCCCCAUGUGGAUGACAAGGGGGGAAGUUUGCUGGGAGGGUUUCUGGGCAAAGUUUUUUUGUGCUGUUCCAAGUUGUGGCUCUGGGAACUGUGGUCACCAGCUGGGUUCCAUAAGGUGGCCAGCCUGAGGACUAAAGCCAACAUGCUGAAGAUGGCAGACUAGAAACUUGGGCCCUCCGCAUUUGCUGAGCUGCAGGCUUGUUAUAACAGAUAUUCUUACCCCUUAUGAAAUUUCGGAUUGCUUUUCUGACUUUUGUAGCUGAAAACUUCCUAACACCCACCAGCUCCAAUCCCUGCCAUGCGAUGACACCCCAACCUUGUCUGGCCCUCACUUCCUGAGCGUCUUUAAACACAUCCGCUCCACUCCUUUGACCUUCGGUCGCUUACCUUGAGAUGUCCUUUGACUUUUUUUCUCGCUACAUCUGUUGGUUUUAACCUGUAAUAUGCUGUUUCUCUAACUAAAUCAUAAACUCCCUGAAGGGAGUGAGCGUCCUUACGUUUCUGUGUGUCCUUCGUGGUGCCUGUCAUUAAUGUGGAACCCCAGUAGGGCUUAAU
Molecule: long non-coding RNA, 1706 nt
Organism: Zalophus californianus (California sea lion)
Lineage: Eukaryota; Metazoa; Chordata; Mammalia; Carnivora; Otariidae
Exons: 3
Source: RefSeq, a predicted model, not a curated record